ACUGCUCAGUAACACGUGGACAACCUACCCUCAGAUCUGGGAUAACUCCGGGAAACUGGAGAUAAUACCGGAUAAUCCGUGAACGCUGGAAUGCCUUACGGUUCAAAGCUUUAGCGUCUGAGGAUGGGUCUGCGGCCGAUUAGGUAGUUGCUGGGGUAACGUCCCAACAAGCCGAUAAUCGGUACGGGUUGUGAGAGCAAGAGCCCGGAGAUGGAUUCUGAGACACGAAUCCAGGUCCUACGGGGCGCAGCAGGCGCGAAAACUUUACACUGCGCGAAAGCGCGAUAAGGGGACCUCGAGUGCGUGCGCAAUGCGUACGCUUUUCACAUGCCUAAAAAGCAUGUGGAAUAAGAGCCGGGCAAGACCGGUGCCAGCCGCCGCGGUAACACCGGCGGCUCAAGUGGUGGCCGCUAUUAUUGGGCUUAAAGGGUCCGUAGCCGGACCAGUUAGUCCAUUGGGAAAUCUUACGGCUUAACCGUAAGGCUGCCAGUGGAUACUGCUGGUCUUGGGACCGGGAGAGGCAAGAGGUACUUCAGGGGUAGGAGUGAAAUCCUGUAAUCCUUGAGGGACCGCCAGUGGCGAAGGCGUCUUGCUAGAACGGGUCCGACGGUGAGGGACGAAAGCUAGGGGCACGAACCGGAUUAGAUACCCGGGUAGUCCUAGCCGUAAACGAUGCGAGCUAGGUGUCACGUGGAUUGCGAAUCCAUGUGGUGCCUGUAGGGAAACCGUGAAGCUCGCCGCCUGGGAAGUACGGCCGCAAGGCUGAAACUUAAAGGAAUUGGCGGGGGAGCAC
This 793-nucleotide ribosomal RNA is filed under the name uncultured archaeon. RNAcentral describes it as "bacterial SSU rRNA". It matches the Rfam family "Archaeal small subunit ribosomal RNA", at positions 85 to 879 of the family's 1478-position model. The record is from RNAcentral.